This 4870-nucleotide long non-coding RNA is filed under the name Nicotiana tabacum (common tobacco). Its description in RNAcentral is "long non-coding RNA (NTAB_LNC005629)". Lineage: Eukaryota; Viridiplantae; Streptophyta; Magnoliopsida; Solanales; Solanaceae. The record is from RNAcentral.
CGAAAGUCUACAAUAUCAUCCCCCAACACCCGGAAACUCACGGGAACACAAGCUAACAGAAUGUAAUACACUGCUCUAACUCUAGAAUGUCUAAAAACAACAGUACGAAAUGAAGGCUAACUACUAAGAGGUAGAAUAAGAUAUAGACUCCUUGGUCUGCGGAUGCGGCAGAUGUACCUUGAAGUCUUUGCUAGAUCUCUCCGCCUCGGGGGUGAUACGCCUGGGUGGAGGUACCUAGAUCUGCAUAUGAAAAACAUGCGCAGAAGGGGCAUGAGUACACCACAACGGUACUUAGUAAGUGCCAAGCCUAACCUCGGUCGGGUAGUGACGAGGAAGGUUAGGGCCCUACUGAGAUUAAACAUAAUAAUAAAUUUGCAACAUUAUAAAUAAACAGUAUAAAUGAGUAUAGUUAUGAAGUAAGACAGGGUGCACAAGGCAACAAAUAAUACACAGAGAAUAAGGUAACACAGAGUAAAACAGCUCAAUACCAGUAACAACAACGAGGAUCUCCCAAGAUACCUUCCUGUAGUCCAUUUCAUCAACUGUCCAAGGAUCUCGGGAUACAGUCCCGUAGUCCAUCAUAUGUGUAUGUCCGAAUGAUCUCCCGGGAUACCGUCCCGUAGUCCAACUAUCAGUGCGCGAGGAUCUACCAGAAUCCGUUUCGUAGUCCCAAAGUAAAUGUGCAGGGUGAUCUACCGGGAAUCUAACCCGUAGUCCCAAAGUAAAUGUGCAGGGGGGUCUACCAAAAAUCUAACCCGUAGUCCCAAAGUAAACAAACAAGGGGGGAAGCUAUCGGAAUCCCACAUCCGUAGUCCCAAUGUAAAUACGCAGCCACAACAAGAAAAUAUUUAGAAAUGGAGUACAAAAAUACAAGGCAACAGGUAGUUCUAGCCUAAUAUGCUUCACUUAAUACAAACAAAGCAACUUCAGCAAAUAGUCAAUUUAGGUCAACUAGGCAUGAUUUUCUAAUCUAAAAUAGGUUAUAUUUGCAAGUGGGAUAAAUCAGGUAAGAAAGAAACUCAGUCUGAAUAAUUAAAGUAAAACCGGAUUUUCAACAAUUAGCUCAAGUACGCGACCGUCACCUCGCGUACAAGGCAUUCAAUUACCAAAUAUCAUGUCCUAAGGAGAAAGGUCCCCCACACAAGGUUAGACAAGCCACUUAACUCAAACCGGCUCCAAAAUCAACUCGAAACCACACGUUUGCCACGCGUCUACGACUCCAAAUGGACCAAAUCUAUUCAAUUCAAUUACAUAUCAUAAAUAACAUCUCAAGCAAUUGAUUCUAUGAUUUAAUUCAAAGUUAAGACGCGAAAUAAGAUAAAAUGACCAAAACGCCCCUCAGGCCAAUGUCUUGAAAUCGGAUGAAAUUAACAUUUUCAGAAUCCUCGUACUCUCACGGGUCUAACCAUAUAAAAAACUCUCAAAUCGGAGGUCAAACACCCAGUCAAAACUCAAUAAUUCGGUCUAUGAAGUUUUACCAAUUUUUCAUUCAUAAAUCCAAAAUUAGAAGAGGAAUUCAUGCUUAGAUUAGUGGGUUACAAGAAAAAAAAAGUCUAGAAUUGUUACCCAAUCAUUGUCUCUGAAAAACCCUCAAAAUCUCGCUCAAAUCCGAGCUCUCAAGCUUGAGUUUUGAUAAAAAUGGCUAAACCCUCGGUUUUGAAAUGUUUAUAACUGCCCAGAUAUUUUAUGCAUUGUGAAUGCGGAGGAAGUCACGGGUUCGCGAAGAAGGAAAUUGAAGGUUACUAAAUUUUGCUUCGCGAACGCGGAAGCAGACUCGCAAACGCGGAAGAGGAAAAUAUGGUGGCCCAGGAUUACUCUUCGGGAACGCGUGGAACUAUACGCGAAUGUGAAGAGUGGACUUUGCAAAGUACGCGAACGCGAGAGUGGGUAUGCAAACGCGAUGAGGAAAAUAGUGAGAGCCCUCAGCGCCAAAUAGAACUACGCGAACGCGAGGGCUUGGUCAUGAAUGCGAAUGAGGAAAAAGGUGAAGCUUCGCGAACGCAGGAGGCUUCAUGUGAACGCGAAGGGUUAUCAGGUCCUCCUCCAAGAUUACUCUACGCGAAUGCGUGGAGGAGGACGCGACCGCGAAGAAGAAAAAGUCUGCAAUAGCUGAAGCCAAAAAUCUGUAAUUUUAAACAACUCCAAAAUGCCCCGUUGAGCAUCCGAAACACACCCGAGGCCCCCGAGACCGCAACCAAACCUACGGACAUAUCCCAUAACAUCAUUCAAACUUGUACCAAUCCUUAAACCACCUAAAACAAUGUUGGAAACUCAAAUUAAUCAAUAAUUUAAGCCUAAGAACUUCAAAUUCUCUCAAAACAUGCUUUCGAUCAAAACCCUAACCAAACCACGUCCGAAUGACCUGAAAUUUUACACGCACAUUCCAAAUGAAAUGAUGGAACUACUGCAACUUUCGGAACUCCAUUCCGACCCUUAGAUCAAAAUCUCACUAUUGGACCGGAAACUUCAAAAAUUCAAACUUUGGCAUUUCAAGCUUAAAUUAGCUAGGGACCUCCAAAACACAUUCCGACCAUGCUCCCAACCCCGAAAUCACCUAACGGAGCUAACAGAACCAUAAAAUUUCCAUUCUGAGUUCAUCUUCACACUGUUCUGACUACGGGCAACUUUCCAACACUUAAGCUCUCAUUUAGGGACUAAGUAUCCCAAAACUCUCUAAAACUCAAAACCGAACAUCCCAACAAUCCCAAUUAGCAGAAAAAGACUUGGGGAAAGCAGUUAAUAGGGUAUCGGGGCAUUAAUUCUUAAGACGACUGGUCGGGUCGUCACACAGUCACAAUAAUAAGUUAAGCCUCACCUAAAAGCAUUUCUACGAGUGUUCAUUUUGUAAAACCGCAAUCAUGUCACGUGAAUUCGUACAUGAUCACGAUGGUUUGAUUAAUUAAACGCGUCUAAAAGCAUAUUACUGUUUAAUUUCCUCGAAUGUCGGAUUAUAAGAGGGAAUUUCAAACCAAAGGCAUUAAAGUAAGAAAGGUUGUUGUAAUUAACUCACUUAGAAAAUAAUCGGGCUUAGUCGUAACAUUUUAUUUUUAGCCAAACUAAUGAGAUAUACAAUAUUCCUCCUUCUCUUUAUCAAGGUUAACAAUUCUUUUUUUGGGGGGAGGGGGGAAGAGGGGUAGAUGACAUUAAAUUCCUACAACAACAUGGUCAAAGUCCAAAUGGGUUGUCCAGGUUUGUCUACCAGACAGGCUUUCAAAUCGGACUCGCUUAUGGAGUUUGGGCUCAUCCAGCUAAGCCUUAAAUAAACUAUCAGUUGGGUUCACUAUUAGAGCUCAAAUUCAAUUUAAGGGAGCUCUACUAAUUUGGUCUUGCAGAGUUACCAGGCCCAAUGCACAAUUUUAAUACAGAAACAGAUUUCUAUAGGAUUAUCACUCUGAAGCUAUAGAAUCAAAUAUGCAUGUAUUUAACUACAACAGGUUUAGAAUAAUACAAUAUGAUCAACUAUUGAAUUAACUUAUCAAUACAAAAGAGGUAUAAAAAUUAAAUCAUUACAAGUCAUUAACUAACUACAACCCAACAAGUUCCAUUCCUUUUAUAAAUAAGGAAGCAGAUUUGUACAUCACUACUCCUAACAACCUUCUUCAAAUAAUAUCCAGAAAGAAAAAAAUGAUUUAGGCUAGUGACUUUUCAAUUCCCUUAUUGAUCUUGAUUUACUGAGAUAUCCACUAGGCUACUCUCAUAAAUCACUUGGCCACCAGCAGUAGCUAAAAACACAAAUGCAAAAAAGAAUAGUCUAACUGUUGAGUAAUUCCUGAGUUUAAUUAAAGAACAAUUCCAUUUAAAAAAUCAUAGAGAUCAACACAAACUGAUUUCACUAAUCAGCCCCGCAAACACCAUUUCAAAUACGAACCACCUAUUUCAGGAAAUAAGUCAUUAUACAGGGAACAAUCAAUCAAACAUGGAGAUGUUUUGAGCAUGAAAUAACCUUUAAACUAGAUCAAUGACCUAUCUAUGACAUUAGACUUGAAUCAUGACUAAACUAAAAGAUAACAUGUAAUUGAAAUGAUUUAGGAGCACAGUAGGAUCAACAAAGUAAAACUCCUCAUUUCAGGUUGUGUAAAAGUAAAAGCAUCACACCAACGCCUCUGAACUUCUUAAGCUCAUAUUGACACUCGAAUUAAUAAUGACUUUGAACCCAACGAGUCAACAUAGCCUACAUAUUCAGCUUAAAAUGAAUUAAUAUAAUCAUAUAACCAUCAAGAGAAACAUAGAUGAAUCAGAUCUAAGCAUACCAAUAUCAGAAACACAUAAAAAUAGAUGUAGACAUGGCAUCAAUAUGUUAAUUCUGCAUUUCCACAUUCACAAAAGUUACAAGAAGGAAUCUCACAUACCUAUUUGUGAAAGACAAUCAACAAAAGCCAAAAGGGCUGAAAACUGAAGAAUAAGCUCAGCAAACUCAAAGAAAACAACAGCAAGAUAACAGAAGAUCAAUAAGGAAAUCCCAGAAUGAAACUUGACCUCAAUUCUAAAUCAGCUUCAGAAAACCAAGGUUGAUCCAGAAAAGAAACCAAACAUAUGAAACCAUUUUUUUCAAUCAGUAUAUGAAAGAAACUGAAACUUGUAAAAGAAAAUUUCUAAGGUAAAAUUUUGCCUCCAAAUCAGUCUAAAGGUGAGAGAAAAGAAGCUGAAUUUCAGAGAGAGGUUUUCGGUGUGUGUAAUCUGUAUGUAUGUCUGUCUAUGUGAGUGAUAUAUGGCCCUUUAUAUAGAAUAUAAGAGUGUGACUUUGUGAGAAAAAUCAGAGGGGUGUGAAAGAAUCUUUUGGGAAUUCUGUCAGCUGAAAUUUAGGGAUGGGGCAUCUUUUCUAUCAAAAAAUGUAGAUUUUUCUCAUGUAUUUUAGGUCCAUUUACUUCUG